Non-coding RNA from Sus scrofa (pig), 231 nucleotides. Lineage: Eukaryota; Metazoa; Chordata; Mammalia; Artiodactyla; Suidae. The record is from RefSeq and is a predicted model, not a curated record.
CCCAGGCGAUCCUUCACGAGCUGGCGCAGAGCGCUGAGAGCGGCGUCCACGAUGGCUUCACCCGUCCUGCCACCUACGGGAAGACAAGGCCAGCAGGUGAUUCGUGUGAACGAGAACAUUCUGGCCGCCCCCAAACACCAUCCACCCCUGAGGACAGCUCACUAAUGUUUACUGAACGUAUAACAUGCACACAGACAAAAAAAAAAAAAAAAAAAAAAAAAAAAAAAAAGA